RNAcentral lists this long non-coding RNA (930 nucleotides) under Anser cygnoides (Swan goose). Its description in RNAcentral is "lncRNA (ENSACDG00005017159.1)". Lineage: Eukaryota; Metazoa; Chordata; Aves; Anseriformes; Anatidae. The record is from RNAcentral.
GCUCCAUUGCCAUCAUCUGGCCUUCUGUAGCCUUUAAUCUGAAGGAUUUGGCCUCCCAGAUUGUCUUCAUAAAUGUUUCUGAGGUGGAAGCUGAGUUAUUUUCUCAGUACUCUCAGCACAAUCCUCCCGCGGGCUCCACGUUGGAAGCAGCAGAAAUGUGAGCGCCUCCCUUCAAACUGAGGGAGCACGGCGAUGUGGCCCAGCACUUUUUCAAUGCUGCGGUGUAAAAGACAACUCUGUAAUCUCAGGAAAUAUUUCUGUCUUGACCGUGGAAGUAGGACGGUGACUUAUUAAACACUGAUUUUCCGUUUCAACCAAUACAUUGAACGCAACAAGCGGAGGCCGCCUCUGUGGCCUUUGUGCUGGACAGAAGCAGCUGGGGUGGGUGCAGGGGGCACAGGCUGGGGACACGGUGCUGACACGAGGCCGAUGCACGACACAGGGCUGGAGCAGCUGGGUUGGCCCCUGUUUGGGCAGCUCCACCUUCAGUCACAAACACAGGUCACAGCAUGAGGCCAUGAAACGCCCACGACAUGGAGGCUGGUUUGGGGGAAGAGCCCGUGAGUUCAGGAGAGUUUAUUUCUGGCUAGAGAAUGCAGUUUCAGAUGAGACAUCUGAUACCAAGAAAAUGAAGCGCGUCUUGUGGGAAUACUUCGUUCUGUCAGAAUAUUUUUGUCUGUUUAUUUCUGCUGCUCCGGCACUUACAAGAGAUGCUGAUUACAAAGAACUUCUUGAAGGAAAGAAAGGCAGAGGUUACAAGGCUUUGAAAAUUAGAAACACAACCAAAAAAAGAAUUUUAAUAGAGACCGAAGGAGAAGAGCUUGAGCAGGAAAGAAAAUGAAGAUGACUACAACUGAAAUAAUCCUGGAUGCUCUAGAGAGGAGGCUGCUGUUUGUUUACUUUCUGGUAGGAAGAUCUUUUUCUCACAAG